RNAcentral lists this ribosomal RNA (224 nucleotides) under uncultured bacterium. RNAcentral's name for it is "partial 16S ribosomal RNA". It matches the Rfam family "Bacterial small subunit ribosomal RNA", at positions 1277 to 1500 of the family's 1533-position model. The record is from RNAcentral.
AAACUACGGUCUCAGUUCAGAUUGCAGGCUGCAACUCGCCUGCAUGAAGUUGGAAUUGCUAGUAAUCGCGAAUCAGAAUGUCGCGGUGAAUACGUUCCCGGGCCUUGUACACACCGCCCGUCACACCAUGAGAGUCGAUAACACCCGAAGCCUGUGAGCUAACCGUAAGGAGGCAGCAGUCGAAGGUGGGGUUGAUGAUUGGGGUGAAGUCGUAACAAGGUAUC